RNAcentral lists this unclassified non-coding RNA (2343 nucleotides) under uncultured fungus. Its description in RNAcentral is "sequence contains 18S rRNA gene, ITS1, 5.8S rRNA gene, ITS2, 28S rRNA gene". The stretch from base 1211 to 2343 matches the Rfam family "Eukaryotic large subunit ribosomal RNA", at positions 1 to 961 of the family's 3401-position model. Lineage: Eukaryota; Fungi. The record is from RNAcentral.
GGAGGGAUCAUUAACACGAAUUACACUUAUAUUGCAAAAUAUAAGUCGUUUUUCAAACAACCAAAACAAAAACCAAUCACCGUGCACUCGAAUUUCCUAUUCUUUAUUGAAUAUCAAAUUCACACCUCCCUAAACAAAGCGUUCAAAAAGUGAAGAUUCUCUUCUGCGACAUCAUGGGAUGAUCUCAGUGACCAGGGCCGUAUCUUCUACAUAUCAUGUGAUGGUAUCUUAUAGAGCUCUAUACACUCAGGAUUCGUUCUGUUUGAUUAUAUCUUUAUCUGUAUACAUAUGUAGUAACAUAGCUAGACCUAUCUUCUUCGCUGUCGUUUAGGACCAUUCAUUUUCGCUCACGAAAAUAACCAUAACCCCAAACCUAUUUCACCCUAACUUAUAAACAUUGACUGAUAUGUUUGUGUUAUUGAAAAAUAACUAUUAACAAACAAUAAAUCUCGAUAUCAAUUCGAAAACUAAAAGCACAACUCUUAGCAACGGAUAUCUUGGUUCUCGUAACGAUGAAGAACGCAGCGAAAUGCGAUAUGUAAUGCGAAUUGCAGAAUUCAGUGAAUCAUCAAAUCUUUGAACGCAAAUGGCGCUUUAGGGAUAGUCCUUAGAGCACACCUCUCUCAGUAUCGGUUCAACCUCAAAUCAGCUGCGUUUGUAUAUAUACUACUAUAGUUUACUAUUGUUAUAUAUAUAUUUAGCCUAACCGCUGGAAAAUGAGAGUCAUGAUUGCUUUCAAUUAUUAAUUAAUCUUCGGAUUGAUUACUUUUUGACUUGUCAAUGAUGUCUUUUGAAAUUAUUGAGUGUUUGAGCUAAUACAUCAAUCUAUCAUUUUAUAAGCUUUUAACCUUGUGACUUAUAAUUGACUUCGUCUAAUUAUAAUAGCUUGUAGCUAUAUAUCUUAUAUAUGAUAUUGUUGAUUGAUCAUAUGUUUCUAUCUAAUCUUCGGAUUAAUUAUAAACCUCUAUGAUUCAUAUUAGUGACGUGGAUAAUUUGACUGUUUAUUCAGUUAAUUACUUUGAAACGUCUUUUAAGCUAAUAUGUCUAAACAUCUUUCUCAAUAUUAUAUAUCUUAAGAAUAAUAGUCAUAAGUGAACCACAUAAACUAAAGUCUAAACUUAUCUUAUGAUACUUGUUAUGUAUCUAUGCCGAAACGAACUGAAAACUAAAUAGGAUUUAUUCUAUUUAAUUUUCAACUCUAACUCGAAUUAGAUCUGAGAUGAAGUGAGAAUACCCCCUGAAUUUAAGCAUAUUAAUAAGGGGAGGAAAAGAAAAUAACAAUGAUUGCUCUAGUAACGGCGAGUGAAGCGGCAAUAGCUCAAUAUGAAAAUCAGUGAUCCAAGCGGGUCAUCUGAAAUGUAUCCUAGAGACGUAUUAUCAGCGCGUGACCUAGACAUAAGUCUUUUGGAAAAAAGCAUCAAAGAGGGUGAGAAUCCCGUCUAUUGGUUUAGAGUCAUUCACCGCGUACGAUAUAUGUUCAUCGAGUCGAGUUGUUUGGGAUUGCAGCUCUAAAUGGGUGGUAAGUUUCAUCUAAAGCUAAAUAUUGACGAGAGACCGAUAGCGAACAAGUACCGUGAGGGAAAGAUGAAAAGAACUUUGAAAAGAGAGUUAAAAAAGUACUUGAAAUUGCUAAGAGGGAAGCGCUGAAAACCAGUGUCAUUGUUAUCAUUUUGCCUAUAGUCUAUUAAUAUGUUAUAUUACUAGUUGGUAACUCUAUUAGUAUAAUAUUGUUGAUUAGUCUGUUGGUCCUGUGAUAAUAAUAUGUCAGAAUCAGUUUGUAUUCGUAGGAGAAGAAUAGAAGAAAGGUAGGUUAUAAGCAAUUAUAACUGUUAUAGUCUUUUAUUUCUACUAUGUUAUAGACUGAGGAAGUAAUGAUGCGCCACUAGGCUUUUAUCUCUGUUUCUAUAUUAUUGAUUAGCGUGGAUGUCAAUGACAUGCUGUUAUGAAAGUGAUAUACUAAGUAGAUGUAUAAAUAUGCAUGAUCACGAUUCUGACUAAAUGGUUUUCAUCGACCCGUCUUGAAACACGGACCAAGGAGUCUAACAUAUAUGCAAGUAUUUGGGUUGUUAAACCCUGAUGCGUAAUGAAAGUAAAGAUAAGCUUGUCUUAUUGAGGUAGGAAAUCCUGUUAUAGGGAUGGCACUAUCGACCGAUCAUCACUUGUGAGAAGAUUUGAGUAAGAGCAUAUCUGUUGGGACCCGAAAGAUGGUGAUCUAUGCCUGAACAGGGUGAAGUCAGGGGAAACUCUGAUGGAGGCUCGUAGCGAUACUGACGUGCAAAUCGUUCGUCUGAUUUGGGUAUAGGGGCGAAAGACUAAUCGAACUAUCUAGUAGCUGGUUCCCUC